RNAcentral lists this long non-coding RNA (844 nucleotides) under Ictidomys tridecemlineatus (thirteen-lined ground squirrel). RNAcentral describes it as "lncRNA (ENSSTOG00000030297.1)". The record is from RNAcentral. Lineage: Eukaryota; Metazoa; Chordata; Mammalia; Rodentia; Sciuridae.
GUUGAUUUUUCUUGUGAAUGUUUUCAUUGAUUUUUUUAAUCUCUGCAGGAGAAUGCCUACUUUUAUGUUGCUGAUAUGAUUAUAUCAGCUAUGGAGAAAAUGAAGUAUGACAUCGUGAGUCAACAGCAGGCGGAGAGCUGGAGCAUAAAAGAAGCCAGUGGGUCCCUUGGGAGUGACCAAGUUGACUCCGAAAUGACCAUUUAUACCAACCCAAAGCAAGAAUCUGGGUCUUCCACUUCCUCUGACAGUGGCUAUGAAGGUUGUGCUGUGUUACAGGUCAGCCCCAAGGUCGAAACACCUUCUCACUCUAAUGUGGUGCAAGAGGCCUGCAGAUGCAGCCUUGAUGAGUUUGUUAUUGUAGAAGUUGGAGAGUUUAAUGAUAUUAGAGAAACUUGUAGCUGUUCCUACAGGUCCUGUAAGAGUGUUUCUCAUGAGGCAGACUUCAAUUCUCCUGAGUUGUUAGCCAAAGAGUUGUACCAAGUAUUCCAGAAGUGCUGGGUAUCGUCAGCAGUUAAGUAUCAGCUGGCAGAUUCCCUGAAUGCAAGUGAUUCAGGAGUUGCAAAUGAAGAAAAUGUCCGAAAAGACUUUGAAUCCAGUAUGGAUAUAGUACAGGACAUUCAACUUAAGUCUAGAGUCAGAGGAACUGAAGACUGGGCUCCCCCUAGAUUUCAGAUCAUACUUGAUCUUCAUCCUCCACUCAAGAGGGAGCUGGUGGUAGUGGCCCAGAAUUUCCUCUGUGCUGGCUGUGGAACUCCAAUAGAGCCUAGUAAGUAUGGAUAAUGGAUUGCUUGUCUGUUACGUGAUGAUAGAGUAACUACAAAGUUACGUGACCGACCAGGAACCA